AUGGACGGAGGCGCCCGUGCGUCCUCGGACAUUCUGCCGAGCGCGGCUGAGCCAAGAACGUCUCUGGCCUUAAGCCAUUUCCAUAUGGGCCCUGGGUAGCAGUCUGAACUGUCCCGACUUACAAAUCCUUUAACUAACAAGUGGCGAUAACCUGCACGACUUCUUAACGUUCCAUUUAUUCUUCCAAGCGUCUGUGGUUCGGAGAUCUAGAAUCGCGGCGCUCCUGAGUGCCGAGCACAUGACAUAACGGAGGGAAGAAACGCUCCACAACUUUGCCAGCCAGGGAGGAAGUUCAAGUUUCAGCAGGCUCAGUGGAGUUAAAGAAAUCUCUGCGCCCAGCGUGGGGCUCGAACUCCCAACCCCGAGAUCAAGAGCGGCACGCGAGCGGACCCAGCAACACACUUCCGCCAAAGCCCUCCACGGCGGGGCCGACCACACGACGACCUCGCCGGGGACCUUACGAGAGUCCAGGAAACAUUCUUCCUCCCUGUGCUUCUCCGCUUCUGUCUCCAGUUGGCGAUCUCUCGGCCAGACUGGCCCUCUCCUCAGGGAUGAAGAUACUACUCAUUACGUGCCCUUGGA
Molecule: long non-coding RNA, 582 nt
Organism: Leopardus geoffroyi (Geoffroy's cat)
Lineage: Eukaryota; Metazoa; Chordata; Mammalia; Carnivora; Felidae
Exons: 3
Source: RefSeq, a predicted model, not a curated record